CCAGAAGCCUAGUUCCAGCCUUCAACGCUAAUGGCACAUAUGAGGCUGUUGCCUCCUCUUAGAGCUCUAGCACAGGGCAGCCCUCCAGACUACAGCCAGGCAGUGGGUAGGUUCUAGGGAACCUGGACACCCAACCCAUCCCAUCUCCUCUGGUCUCUCUACUCACUCCAAUUCUGUCAGCGCCUCCAGAUUCUCAAUCUUCUUGAUCUGAUUAUCAUAGAGAUCCAGUUCUCGAAGACUCUGCAGUUCCUCCAGGUUCUCAAUGCAUUUAAUUAAGUUUUGACGGAGGCACAGUGACUGGAGGGUAGGAAGAGGAUCAGCAUUGGCAAAGGAGAACAUAGGGCCACCCUCCAGGGGCUGUUUUAUGCUGAUCAUCAAGGGGCAGCACCUCAAAGCCUUCAAUCUUUCCAAUGCGAUAGUGAUUCAGAUCAACAUCCUGAAAUAUAGAGGAAUCUUGCUCAGAUCCAUCGGAGUUUUGGAGACCUGGCCAGAAGCUGCUUAGGAGAAUGCCAGAUGGGGAGGGCUGUAGAAGUUUUUUGCGGGGGACACUAAAGAUGAGAAGGUGAUAGCAAGGCCUCCAAAAGUCUAUCUGUGCCUCGAACUUCCCAAGAAGCCAAAGUCGGCUUGAAGCUCUUGAUGGGAAGGAAGAAAACAGCUCCCUGAGUCUUGGUGAACUCAGUGAAGCCUAGUCAUUGCUGGGAAGCAUGUCCCCACCAUGGCUGUCCCCUUGGAAUCCCUGGAGUUUGUGUUGCCAGAAACCUAUCCACCCAUGUAUUCUUCCCCCUCUAUUUGUGGCAAUAAAUUGGGCCAUUUGAAUACAGCUCAUGCUGGGCCUAGUACAUGUUCUGGGA
Molecule: long non-coding RNA, 851 nt
Organism: Peromyscus eremicus (cactus mouse)
Lineage: Eukaryota; Metazoa; Chordata; Mammalia; Rodentia; Cricetidae
Exons: 3
Source: RefSeq, a predicted model, not a curated record